GUCUAAGUAUAAGCAAUCUAUACUGUGAAACUGCGAAUGGCUCAUUAAAUCAGUUAUCGUUUAUUUGAUAGUACCUUACUACUUGGAUAACCGUGGUAAUUCUAGAGCUAAUACAUGCUAAAAACCUCGACUUCGGAAGGGGUGUAUUUAUUAGAUAAAAAACCAAUGCCCUUCGGGGCUCCUUGGUGAUUCAUAAUAACUUAACGAAUCGCAUGGCCUUGUGCCGGCGAUGGUUCAUUCAAAUUUCUGCCCUAUCAACUUUCGAUGGUAGGAUAGUGGCCUACCAUGGUAUCAACGGGUAACGGGGAAUUAGGGUUCUAUUCCGGAGAGGGAGCCUGAGAAACGGCUACCACAUCCAAGGAAGGCAGCAGGCGCGCAAAUUACCCAAUCCCAAUACGGGGAGGUAGUGACAAUAAAUACUGAUACAGGGCUCUUUUGGGUCUUGUAAUUGGAAUGAGUACAAUUUAAAUCCCUUAACGAGGAACAAUUGGAGGGCAAGU
Molecule: ribosomal RNA, 500 nt
Filed under: fungal sp. TRN460
Lineage: Eukaryota; Fungi
Description: SSU rRNA
Rfam family: Eukaryotic small subunit ribosomal RNA
Source: RNAcentral